ACCGGCAGCUCAAGUGGUGGCCAUUAUUAUUGGGCCUAAAGCGUUCGUAGCCGGUUUGAUAAGUCUCUGGUGAAAUCCCGCAGCUUAACUGUGGGACUUGCUGGAGAUACUAUCAGACUUGAGGUCGGGAGAGGUUAGGGGUACUCCCAGGGGCGGGGUGAAAGCCGAUAAGCCGGGGAGGACGACAGGUGGCGGGGGGGCCGAACGGGAACGAGCCUGAGGGUGAGUAAUUAUAGCCAGGGGCGCGAUCCU
Molecule: ribosomal RNA, 252 nt
Filed under: uncultured prokaryote
Description: partial 16S rRNA
Rfam family: Archaeal small subunit ribosomal RNA
Source: RNAcentral